GACGAACGCUGGCGGCGUGCUUAACACAUGCAAGUCGAACGGAAAGGCCCUGCUUUUGUGGGGUUCUCGAGUGGCGAACGGGUGAGUAACACGUGAGUAACCUGCCCUUGACUGUGGGAUAACUUCAGGAAACUGGGGCGAAUACCGGAUAGGAGCUCCUGCUGCAUGGGGGGGGUUGGAAAGUUUCGGCUGUUGGGGAUGGACUCGCGGCUUAUCAGCUUGUUGGUGGGGUAGUGGCUUACCAAGGCUUUGACGGGUAGCCGGCCUGAGAGGGUGGACGGCGACAUUGGGCCUGCGAUACGGCCCAGAAUCCUACGGGCGGCAGCAGUGGGAAAUAUUGCGCAAUGGGCGGACGCCUGAUGCAGAAACGCCGCGUGCGGGAUGACGGCCUUCGGGUUGUAAACCGAUUUCGCCUGUGACGAAGCGUGAGUGACGGUAAUGGGUAAAGAAGCACCGGCUAACUACGUG
RNAcentral lists this ribosomal RNA (468 nucleotides) under uncultured bacterium. Its description in RNAcentral is "partial 16S ribosomal RNA". It matches the Rfam family "Bacterial small subunit ribosomal RNA", at positions 28 to 507 of the family's 1533-position model. The record is from RNAcentral.